AAUCCAUAGGUUAAUGAGGCGAACCGGGGGAACUGAAACAUCUAAGUACCCCGAGGAAAAGAAAUCAACCGAGAUUCCCCCAGUAGCGGCGAGCGAACGGGGAGGAGCCCAGAGCCUGAAUCAGCAUGUGUGUUAGUGGAAGCGUCUGGAAAGGCGCGCGAUACAGGGUGACAGCCCCGUACACAAAAGCGCAUGUGCUGUGAGCUCGAUGAGUAGGGCGGGACACGUGGUAUCCUGUCUGAAUAUGGGGGGACCAUCCUCCAAGGCUAAAUACUCCUGACUGACCGAUAGUGAACCAGUACCGUGAGGGAAAGGCGAAAAGAACCCCGGCGAGGGGAGUGAAAAAGAACCUGAAACCGUGUACGUACAAGCAGUGGGAGCACAGGUUUACCUGUGUGACUGCGUACCUUUUGUAUAAUGGGUCAGCGACUUAUAUUCUGUAGCAAGGUUAACCGAAUAGGGGAGCCGGAGGGAAACCGAGUCUUAAUUGGGCGUUAAGUUGCAGGGUAUAGACCCGAAACCCGGUGAUCUAGCCAUGGGCAGGUUGAAGGUUGGGUAACACUAACUGGAGGACCGAACCGACUAAUGUUGAAAAAUUAGCGGAUGACCUGUGGCUGGGGGUGAAAGGCCAAUCAAACCGGGAGAUAGCUGGUUCUCCCCGAAAGCUAUUUAGGUAGCGCCUCGUGAAUUCAUCUCCGGGGGUAGAGCACUGUUUCGGCUAGGGGGCCAUCCCGGCUUACCAACCCGAUGCAAACUGCGAAUACCGGAGAAUGUUAUCACGGGAGACACACGGCGGGUGCUAACGUCCGUCGUGAAGAGGGAAACAACCCAGACCGCCAGCUAAGGUCCCAAAGUCAUGGUUAAGUGGGAAACGAUGUGGGAAGGCCCAGACAGCCAGGAUGUUGGCUUAGAAGCAGCCAUCAUUUAAAGAAAGCGUAAUAGCUCACUGGUCGAGUCGGCCUGCGCGGAAGAUGUAACGGGGCUAAACCAUGCACCGAAGCUGCGGCAGCGACACUGUGUGU
This 1022-nucleotide ribosomal RNA is filed under the name Salmonella enterica subsp. enterica serovar Newport. Its description in RNAcentral is "partial 23S ribosomal RNA". It matches the Rfam family "Bacterial large subunit ribosomal RNA", at positions 161 to 1221 of the family's 2925-position model. Lineage: Bacteria; Pseudomonadati; Pseudomonadota; Gammaproteobacteria; Enterobacterales; Enterobacteriaceae. RNAcentral also lists the same sequence under 1 other name. The record is from RNAcentral.